AGGAUGAACGCUGGCGGCGUGCCUAAAACAUGCAAGUCAUACGGGCUACCUUCGGGUAGCCAGUGGCAAACGGGUGAGUAACACGUGGGAACACGCCUUCGAGUGGGGAAUAACGCUGAGAAAUCAGUGCUAAUACCGCAUAUGGUCGAGAGACUAAAGCAGCAAUGCGCUCGGAGAGUGGCCCGCGGUCGAUUAGCUAGUUGGUGGGGUAAUGGCCUACCAAGGCGGCGAUCGAUAGCUGGU
RNAcentral lists this ribosomal RNA (243 nucleotides) under uncultured bacterium. RNAcentral describes it as "partial small subunit ribosomal RNA". It matches the Rfam family "Bacterial small subunit ribosomal RNA", at positions 26 to 291 of the family's 1533-position model. The record is from RNAcentral.